GACGAACGCUGGCGGCGUGCUUAACACAUGCAAGUCGAACGGAAAGGCCCUGCUUUUGUGUGGUGCUCGAGUGGCGAACGGGUGAAUAACCCGGGAGUAACCUUGCCUUUACUUUGUGAUAACUUCAGGAAACUGCUGCUAAUACCUGAUAGGAGCGCCUGCUGCAUGGUGGUGUUUGGAACUUUUCGGCGGAUGUGGAUGUACUCGCGGGUUAUGAGCUUGUGGGGUGGGUAGUUGCUUACCAAGGCUUUGAAGGGUAGCCGGCAUGAGAGGGUGAACGGGCACAUUGGGACUGCGAUAGGGAGCAGACUGCAACGGGAGGCAGCAGGGGGGAAUAUUGCACAAUGGGCGGAAGCCUGAUGCAGAAACGCUGGGUGCGGGAUGACGGCCUUCGGGUUGGAAAGCGCUUUAGGCUGUGACGAAGCGUGAGUGACGGUAAUGGGUAAAGAAGCACCGGCUAACUACGUG
This 468-nucleotide ribosomal RNA is filed under the name uncultured bacterium. Its description in RNAcentral is "partial 16S ribosomal RNA". It matches the Rfam family "Bacterial small subunit ribosomal RNA", at positions 28 to 507 of the family's 1533-position model. The record is from RNAcentral.